Long non-coding RNA from Eupeodes corollae, 1804 nucleotides. RefSeq lists it as uncharacterized. The transcript has 5 exons. The record is from RefSeq and is a predicted model, not a curated record. NCBI's taxonomy places the organism in Eukaryota, Metazoa, Arthropoda, Insecta, Diptera, Syrphidae.
AAACAAUGGGUUUCGGAUUUUAAGAGUAAGUUUUUGUUAAUUGUUUUGAUUUUUAAUAUAAUUUGAUAUUUUUCAGACCAAAAUUCUUUAUAAUGAAGAGGGUAUAUACAAGUUCACUUCAUUGAAUAAAAAUCUGUCUUUUCAUUUUAGGUAUUGCCAAAAUGCAGGAAGCAAUUUCCUUUAAGUAAUUUGGAAAGCAUACCAAACAAGGCGCUGAUUUGCUGAUGCUGCCCAUUGUUUUUGUAUGUACUUCUCAAUGGCAAGAGCUGCCGCAGGCGUUGACGGCGGAGGUGUCACCAUCAAAACCAUUAGAAACAACACCAUCAUGUCAAUGAUGCAAGUGGAAGUUUUGCCAUGUAAUAGUCGACCGCUGACGCCCUUCUCCUUCAAUUGUGUAAGUACGUAUCGAAACAUUCAUAUCGUAGUCAACUAGCUUAAUCUUCAUCUUCUAGGUGUAAAGAGUUUACUACCAGUCUGCGGUUCUGCAAGAGACGCAAGAAAAACAAGAAUAAAAUCGCAGGAAUACUCAAAAAUUGUCCAACCUUGACUGUAAGAGAGUUCAAAUUUUAAAUCUACAACGAAUCCAUUUAUUUUGCUCCUAAGAAUCGCACUGGCUUAACGGAGGCAAAUGAGCUGGCCCGACAAGAAUCCCCAAGAAGCCAAACAGAUUCAGAUCAGUCUCUCGGCAGCUACUGACGAUGUCGGCGAGUGGAUUCCAUCGAUUUUCACACAGAAAAUCAACAUCAAAAAAAUCACGACAAUUUAGCAGCGUCAUGGUCAACCUGCCGAUCAACUAUUCACAGUGAAUAACCUCCAUUCGCAGCGGAAGCGACAAUGCGAAAACAAUGUCAUCAAGCCGGAGUACCAUCCAGGAUCUAUCAAGUAUCGCAUUCAAUUGCUUGCUAACUACCAUGUGCCCAACGUUCUGCUUGUGCGUUGUGAAAACCACUGAAGCCUGGCACGUCCACUGAAUUGAUCCUCAAGCUAACUAACCCAACGAUGUACCAUAUGGCCACAACCAUUAUGAAACUGCCAACCAAGGAAGAGGAACGGCGAAUGAUCGACUUCGAAUAAAAGUUCAACGAAAGGAACCAAAUUCCACCACUUGAAGAAAGUCCAAUAAAGUAACAAUCAAAUUGAACUUCACACCUGAAGAAGGACUGAAACCAGGCGAUAAUGUUACCCUUAGUUUCUUGAUGAAAUAUACUUUUGUGAAUACAUACACAUGCCCGAAAAGAAAGAACGUCAAAAACACGCAUUAUCAUCGAAAGUUUUUGUAAAAGUUGGUCAAAUUGAAGCCUAAAUUUAUUUCUAUGUAUAUCUAGAAAUUAAUCUUUUUUGCAAACAACUUGUUUAUUUAUUUUGAGCUAUAGUGUAAAUUUUGUAUAUAUUGUAUAUUCUACUAUUUCUUUGCUGACUAGGAUUAUUGUUAUUCAAAAUUAUUUAUGAUUUACUUUACUUUAAUAAUAAAGGAAUUUGUUUUGAAUUCAAAGAUGUUGGUGCUUUUUUCUUCAGGGGUUGAAUUCGGUUGAAUCAAGUGAAUUUUGAAGAAUAUACAAAUGGUAAUGUACAAAUUGAUCGGAUUAGCCAAUAUAAAACAUCCCAUUUCGGUUGUUUGGGGGCAGCACAACUCGAACCUUGAACAAAAUGGGACCUACAUAACUAAAAUGUUCGUUGGAAUUUUUACCCGCCCAUUUAAACGAUAUAAAUUUGAUUAGAUGAAAAGGACGAAACAAAUUUAAGCGAAAUAUUGAACAAAUAUUGUAGAUUUGGAAAUCAUCACAAUUACCACCAAUUAUAACGU